AGAAAGACCCAGAUGCAUCUUUAAAACACUCGUAAGGUCCAUCGCUAUCGGGAAACUGGGCCCCGGUCGUUUGGUGAUUCAUUACGAAACCGAAAGAAAACUCUGUGAUAUGAUCGGGCGGCGCGGAUAACUGUUCAUUUGAGAAGGGCACUCCAACUUCACUGCUUGCCCGGUCAUACAUAGCCUUGCACCCCUGUUCAGCCUAAUCAAACUCCUUCAUUGUAAAGUAAGCUAUUUUAGGCAGGUGCAAUGGCAACACAGUGUGUGACAAAGGUGGAACUGACAGUCUCCUGUGAUAAUCUUCUGGACAUGGACGUAUUCUCCAAGUCUGACCCUCUGUGUGUUCUUCUCAUGAACAUUGCUGGGUCGCAGUGGUAUGAGGUGGACCGCACAGAGACUGUGCACCCUCAUAGAUAUCAUCCUGACUAACUUACCCUCUAAAUACACCUCCACUGUCUUCAACCAGGA
Long non-coding RNA from Coregonus clupeaformis (lake whitefish), 468 nucleotides. RefSeq lists it as uncharacterized. The record is from RefSeq and is a predicted model, not a curated record. The transcript has 3 exons. NCBI's taxonomy places the organism in Eukaryota, Metazoa, Chordata, Actinopteri, Salmoniformes, Salmonidae.